Molecule: non-coding RNA, 65 nt
Organism: Dipodomys ordii (Ord's kangaroo rat)
Lineage: Eukaryota; Metazoa; Chordata; Mammalia; Rodentia; Heteromyidae
Source: Rfam
GGUGGCUCAGUGGUAGAGCAAUUGCCUUGCAUGCAUGAAGCCCUGGGUUCGAUUCCUCAGCACCA